CAAAGAGUGAAGCCCUCUCUUCAUCCACAGAACAGAUAGAGCAUAGACAGAGGGUGUACAAGCAUCCCCAAACUUCCCUGGCAACAUCUUUCACCCACCUGUUCUGGGAUGAGGGAAGUAUCCAUACCCAUUUCAUCCUUGGCCUUU
RNAcentral lists this small RNA (147 nucleotides) under Chrysemys picta bellii (western painted turtle). RNAcentral's name for it is "TUC338 (ENSCPBG00000025776.1)". The record is from RNAcentral. Lineage: Eukaryota; Metazoa; Chordata; Testudines; Emydidae.